Molecule: ribosomal RNA, 437 nt
Filed under: uncultured bacterium
Lineage: Bacteria
Description: bacterial SSU rRNA
Rfam family: Bacterial small subunit ribosomal RNA
Source: RNAcentral
AACGAACGCUGGCGGCAGGCCUAACACAUGCAAGUCGAUCGCACCUUCGGGUGAGCGGCGGACGGGUUAGUAACGCGUGGGAACGUGCCCUUCUCUACGGAAUAGCCUCUGGAAACGGAGAGUAAUACCGUAUACGCCCUUUGGGGGAAAGAUUUAUCGGAGAAGGAUCGGCCCGCGUUAGAUUAGGUAGUUGGUGGGGUAACGGCCUACCAAGCCUACGAUCUAUAGCUGGUUUUAGAGGAUGAUCAGCAACACUGGGACUGAGACACGGCCCAGACUCCUACGGGAGGCAGCAGUGGGGAAUCUUAGACAAUGGGGGCAACCCUGAUCUAGCCAUGCCGCGUGAGUGAUGAAGGCCUUAGGGUCGUAAAGCUCUUUCGCCUGUGAUGAUAAUGACAGUAGCAGGUAAAGAAACCCCGGCUAACUCCGUGCCAAAG